UUGAAAAUGAGUUUGUGGCGUGUUUGAACUUGAGUUUCUGCUGUCUUUGAACUUGAGGUUGUGGCAAUUGUUAAACUUGAGGUUUGGGUGUUGGUUGAUCUUGAGUUUUUGUCUUGUUUGAACUUUUGUUUUUGGAUUUUUUGAACUAGAGUUUGUGUGUUUUUUGAACUUAAGUUUUUGGCAACUUAUGAACUUGAGUAUAUUGAAAUUAAGUUUGUGGCAAAUGUUGAACUUGAGUUUGUGGCAUUUGUUGAACUUGAGUUUGUGAUGUGUUUGCACUCCAGGUUGUGGUGUUUUUGAACUUGAGGUUCUGGCAAUUGUUGAACUUGAGUCUGUGGUUUUUAGUGAACUUAAGUUGGUGGCAAUUCUUUAACUUGAUUUUUGAGUUUGUAGCGUGUUUGAAUUUGAGGUUGUUGCAAUUUUUAAAUUUGAGAUUUGGGUGUUGGUUGAACUUAAAAUUUUCACAUUUAUUGAACUGGAGUUUGUGGUUUUUUGUUGAACUUGAGCUUGUGUUUUUUGAACUUGAGUAUGUGGUUUUUGUUGAACUUGAGUUUGUGUCAUGUUUGAACUUGAUUUUGUGUUGUUUUUAACUUGAGUUUGUGGUUUUUUUUAAGUUGAGGGUGUGGAAUUUGUUGAAUUUGAGGUUGUGGCAAUUGUUAAACUUGAUUUUGUGUUUUAGUUGAACUUGAGUUUGUGUCGUGUUUGCACUUGAGUUUGUGGUGUUUUUUAUGAACUUGAGUUUGUGUGUUUGUUAAACUUGAGGGUGUGGCAAUUGUUAAACUUGAGAUCUGGGUGUUGGUUGAACUUAAGUUUUUUUGUGUUUGAACUUGAGUUUGUGGUGUUUGUUGAAUUUGAGUUUGUGUGUGUUUGAACUUGAUUUUGAGGUGUUUUUGAACCUGAGUUUGUGGUUUUUGUUUGAACUUGAUUUUGUGUGUUUGUUAAACUUGAGUUUGUGUGUUUUUUGAACUUGAGUUGGUGGUGUUUUUGAACUUGAGUUUCGUGUUUGAACCAGAGUUUGUGGUUUUUGUUAAACUUGAGUUUGUGUCAUGUUUUAACUUGAGUUUGUGGUCUUCUUGAAAUUGAGUUUGUGUGUUUUUUGAAGUUAAGGAUGUGGAAUUUGUUGUACUCAAGGUUGUGGAAAUUGUUAAACUUGAGUUUGUGUGUUAUUUGAACUCUAGUGUGUGUUGUAUUUGAACUUCAGUUUGUGUGAUUGUUGAACUUGAGUUUGUGUUGUGUUUGAACUUGAGUUUGUGGUCUUUUGAACUUGAGUUUGUGGUGUUUUUAACUUGAGUUUGUGUGUUUUUGAACUUGAAGUUUGUGGCAAUUGUUAAACUUGAGAUUGGGUGUUGGUUGAACUUGAGUUUUGUUGUGUUUGAACUUGA
This 1382-nucleotide long non-coding RNA is filed under the name Xyrichtys novacula (pearly razorfish). Lineage: Eukaryota; Metazoa; Chordata; Actinopteri; Labriformes; Labridae. The record is from RNAcentral.